UACGUAGGGUGCGAGCGUUAAUCGGAAUCAUUGGGCGUAAAGCGCGCGUAGGCGGCCCGGUAAGUCCGUUGUGAAAGUCAAAGGCUCAACCUUUGAAUGCCGAUGGAUACUGCCGGGCUAGAGUCCGGAAGAGGCGAGUGGAAUUCCUGGUGUAGCGGUGGAAUGCGCAGAUAUCAGGAGGAACACCGAUAGCGAAGGCAGCUCGCUGGGACGGUACUGACGCUGAGGCGCGAAAGCGUGGGGAGCGAACAGG
Molecule: ribosomal RNA, 253 nt
Filed under: uncultured bacterium
Lineage: Bacteria
Description: partial 16S ribosomal RNA
Rfam family: Bacterial small subunit ribosomal RNA
Source: RNAcentral